GGGGGAAUAUUGGACAAUGGGCGCAAGCCUGAUCCAGCCAUGCCGCGUGAGUGAAGAAGGCCUUCGGGUUGUAAAGCUCUUUUGUCCGGAAAGAAAAGUUCCCGGUUAAUACCCGGGGAUCAUGACGGUACCGGAAGAAUAAGCACCGGCUAACUUCGUGCCAGCAGCCGCGGUAAUACGGGGGGAGCAAGCGUUGUUCGGAUUUACUGGGCGUAAAGGGCGCGUAGGCGGCGCAACAAGUCACUUGUGAAAUCUCCGGGCUUAACUCGGAGCGGCCAAGUGAUACUGUCGUGCUAGAGUGCGGAAGGGGCAACUGGAAUUCUCGGUGUAGCGGUGAAAUGCGUAGAUAUCGAGAGGAACACCUGCGGCGAAGGCGGGUUGCUGGGCCGACACUGACGCUGAGGCGCGAAAGCCAGGGGAGCGAA
Molecule: ribosomal RNA, 425 nt
Filed under: uncultured bacterium
Lineage: Bacteria
Description: bacterial SSU rRNA
Rfam family: Bacterial small subunit ribosomal RNA
Source: RNAcentral